UACAGAGGGGGCAAGCGUUGUUCGGAAUUACUGGGCGUAAAGGGCGCGUAGGCGGCCUGUUAAGUCGAACGUGAAAUCCCCGGGCUCAACCCGGGAACUGCGUCCGAUACUGGCAGGCUUGAAUUCGGGAGAGGGAUGUGGAAUUCCAGGUGUAGCGGUGAAAUGCGUAGAUAUCUAGAGGAACACCGGUGGCGAAGGCGGCAUCCUGGACCGAUAUUGACGCUGAUGCGCGAAAGCCAGGGGAGCAAACGGG
RNAcentral lists this ribosomal RNA (253 nucleotides) under uncultured bacterium. RNAcentral's name for it is "partial 16S ribosomal RNA". It matches the Rfam family "Bacterial small subunit ribosomal RNA", at positions 524 to 776 of the family's 1533-position model. The record is from RNAcentral.